Long non-coding RNA from Phyllostomus discolor (pale spear-nosed bat), 131 nucleotides. RefSeq lists it as uncharacterized. Lineage: Eukaryota; Metazoa; Chordata; Mammalia; Chiroptera; Phyllostomidae. The record is from RefSeq and is a predicted model, not a curated record. The transcript has 3 exons.
AAAGGUUGCAAUAUGUGAAAUAAAGUAAAAUGUACAGAGAACCAACAGUGAAAGGAAGGAAAUCAGGGCUCAAAUCAACACUUUGGAUCAGGAGGAAGAAAUAAACAUUUGACCAGAAAAGAAUGAAGAAA